RNAcentral lists this long non-coding RNA (607 nucleotides) under Mytilus galloprovincialis (Mediterranean mussel). Lineage: Eukaryota; Metazoa; Mollusca; Bivalvia; Mytilida; Mytilidae. The record is from RNAcentral.
GCCAUCCAACCAAGAUGGCCGCCAUGGCUAAAAAUAGAACAUGGGGUAAAAUGCAGUUUUUGGCUUAUAACUCAAAACCCAAAGCAUUUAGAGCAAAUCUGACAUGGGGUAAAAUUGUUUAUCAGGUCAACAUUUAUCUGCUCUGAAAUUUUUAGAUGAAUCGGACAACCCGUUGUUGGGUUGCUGACCCUGAAUUGUUAGUUUUAAGGAAAUUUUGCUGUUUUUGGUCAUUAUCUUGAAUAUUAUUAUUGAUAGAGAUAAACUGUAAACAGCAAUAAUGUUCAGCAAAGUAAGAUUUCAAAUAAGUCAACAUGACCGAAAAUGGUCAAUUGACCCCCUUAGGAGUUAUUGUUCUUUAUAGUCAAUUUUUAACAAUUUUCAUAAAAUUUGUAAAUUUUUACUAACAUUUUCCACUGAAACUAAUGGGCCAAGUUCAUUAUAGAUGGAGAUAAUUUUAAGCAGCAAGAAUGUUCAGUAAAGUAAGAUGUACAAACACAUCAACAUCACCAAAACACAAUUUUGUCAUGAAUCCAUCUGCUUCCUUUAAUAUUUACAUAGACCAAGGUGAGCGACACAGGCUCUUUAGAGCCUCUAGUUCAUAAAACUU